Non-coding RNA from Gossypium hirsutum (cotton), 142 nucleotides. Lineage: Eukaryota; Viridiplantae; Streptophyta; Magnoliopsida; Malvales; Malvaceae. The record is from Rfam.
UGUUAAAACUAUCAUUCAUUUUUAUUAUUGUUAAAAACUGACAUGGAUGAUAGAAUAACCCGAUAAUUACACGUGGUGUGCCACGUGUACCUAAUUUUGACAUACAAUGAUAAGUUUUUAAAAAUAGAUAAAAAUUUUAACA